This 497-nucleotide ribosomal RNA is filed under the name uncultured bacterium. RNAcentral's name for it is "partial 16S ribosomal RNA". It matches the Rfam family "Bacterial small subunit ribosomal RNA", at positions 28 to 507 of the family's 1533-position model. The record is from RNAcentral.
GAUGAACGCUGGCGGCGUGCCUAAUACAUGCAAGUCGAGCGAACGGACGAGAAGCUUUCUUUUCUGAUGUUAGCGGCGGACGGGUGAGUAACACGUGGAUAACCUACCUAUAAGACUGGGAUAACUUCGGGAAACCGGAGCUAAUACCGGAUAAUAUUUUGAACCGCAUGGUUCAAAAGUGAAAGACGGUCUUGCUGUCACUUAUAGAUGGAUCCGCGCUGCUUUAGCUAGUUGGUAAGGUAACGGCUUACCAAGGCAACGAUGCAUAGCCGACCUGAGAGGGUGAUCGGCCACACUGGAACUGAGACACGGUCCAGACUCCUACGGGAGGCAGCAGUAGGGAAUCUUCCGCAAUGGGCGAAAGCCUGACGGAGCAACGCCGCGUGAGUGAUGAAGGUCUUCGGAUCGUAAAACUCUGUUAUUAGGGAAGAACAUAUGUGUAAGUAACUGUGCACAUCUUGACGGUACCUAAUCAGAAAGCCACGGCUAACUACGUG